UCCUGACUGACCGAUAGUGAACCAGUACCGUGAGGGAAAGGCGAAAAGAACCCCGGCGAGGGGAGUGAAAAAGAACCUGAAACCGUGUACGUACAAGCAGUGGGAGCACGCUUAGGCGUGUGACUGCGUACCUUUUGUAUAAUGGGUCAGCGACUUAUAUUCUGUAGCAAGGUUAACCGAAUAGGGGAGCCGAAGGGAAACCGAGUCUUAACUGGGCGUUAAGUUGCAGGGUAUAGACCCGAAACCCGGUGAUCUAGCCAUGGGCAGGUUGAAGGUUGGGUAACACUAACUGGAGGACCGAACCGACUAAUGUUGAAAAAUUAGCGGAUGACUUGUGGCUGGGGGUGAAAGGCCAAUCAAACCGGGAGAUAGCUGGUUCUC
Molecule: ribosomal RNA, 381 nt
Filed under: Shigella sonnei
Lineage: Bacteria; Pseudomonadati; Pseudomonadota; Gammaproteobacteria; Enterobacterales; Enterobacteriaceae
Description: partial 23S ribosomal RNA
Rfam family: Bacterial large subunit ribosomal RNA
Source: RNAcentral